UAGCAAACCACUUCUCUCCAAAUCUCUCUCAACAUCAAAGCAUGAGAAAAAUUAGGGUUCAGUCCAAAUUUAAUGUGUCUUUAAAGCUUUGACGGCCUCACUCCACCGGUUUCAUCAACCUCUUCCUCCUUUUCAUCUGCCUGAAUGUAGAGCCGUUCGGCCUCUACAGCGUUUGGUCAGUAGAUUAUUUACAACUUCGGAAGAGAGCCGGGGAGGAGGCCUUCGCUUUCCUAUUCCGAUGGGCGGAGAGAUGGCUUUGUUAGAAAUCUCCGAUUCUGCCAUCACACAAAGGAUGUUGACUUCACGAAGAGGAAAUGUACACACUGUUUAUCUGGGAGAGACGGAGCAUGACAUCCCGAAGUGAUCGUGGAUUCACACCAUGACUUGCUUGCCACUGUAGUCGGAAGAAGUUAGGUCAAACGAUGACAAGCAACGGAACAUGGAGAAAACUGCAAACAACCUUAUCCCUGAACCUCUGAGAUCUGAAGAGCAAAUUAAAUUAAGAUAACACAUUCAUCAUGUAAAUGUGGGCAGCAUGGAUGCGGAGCAGCUUCAUCACCAUCUGUACUUCCAGUUGCCAUAUCCAAUCAAAUGAACAAGCAUGAGUGAGGAUGACCUUCUCAACUUUUUGGUAACUCGGCCACGUCCCUUUUUCGUCUCAUCAAAAGUCAGAAUUCGGCUCCCAGCCAUCACUUCUUUGAGCAGUUUGAUCAACUACUGCUCAACAUGGAACUCUUUUUGUUUAUGAUCCAAAAGAGGGCAUGCGCAUUUCCCACCAACGCAUUUGCAAUCCUGCACUGAACCCUACGGAUUGCACUCUUUGUCCGAAAAAACAUGGAAUAAAAAAAAUUCUCCAGGCACCUUCAGGCCAAUACUGUUUCAUUAGCCCCUUCUAUAUAUGUAGCAAACAUGAAAAAAAAAAAAAGAAGUUAGUUCAUACACACACAUAUAUGAGAGAGAGUGAGAG
This is a long non-coding RNA of Pyrus x bretschneideri (Chinese white pear), 967 nucleotides long. RefSeq lists it as uncharacterized. The record is from RefSeq and is a predicted model, not a curated record. The transcript is spliced from 3 exons. NCBI's taxonomy places the organism in Eukaryota, Viridiplantae, Streptophyta, Magnoliopsida, Rosales, Rosaceae.